CAUUACNGUAUCUAAAAACAAAAUAAAACUAAAAUAGCACAGGGUUCAUAGUAGUGUAUCAUGUAAAUGUAUGCUACUCCUGUUAGCUAAUAAACACACUUGUCACUCUAAGGUGCUCUGAAUGUUUAUGUGAGUGCUGGACUAGUGUGGAAGUCUUAAGGAGGCCAAUGUUGCUGAAUUAAGCACUUUGUAACUGACAUUGUAUGCAUACUUGUGUGGACUGGAGUGUUAAGGUAGGCAAUAAGUCCUUUGAAGAUUUCAUUCGCCUUAGCACUUGAUGUAGUUCAUGUAUGUGCUACUCACAUGUUUUUACAUUUGCUCCGUUUGUGAGCAAAGCAAAAUGAAACGUUAUGUUGAUAUAUAAAUCAUCUAAUAAUAAAAAGUAAAAAAUCAACCUCGAGUGGUGGAUCACUCGGCUCGUGGGUCGAUGAAGAACGCANGCUAACUGCGUGCAGACGUGUGAACUGCAGGACACAUGAACACCGACAUUUUGAACGCAUAUGGCGGCCUGAAAUAACUUUCAGGCCACGUCUGGCUGAGGGUCGGAUAUGAAAUAAAAACAAAAGAUGCUGUAAAAAGCUUCAUCGCCAANGUUGAACAGCUUGGUUAGAAUACAUGUGUAUGAUUGCUGUAAUGUAACAACAGUUUUAAGUUGUAAACUAAUCUGUUGAUUUGGGCGCAUACACAGUUGAAUUUUGUAAAUACAUAAAACAAAUUCAUUGUUACGACCUCAGAGCAGGCGAGAUUACCC
Molecule: ribosomal RNA, 751 nt
Filed under: uncultured metazoan
Lineage: Eukaryota; Metazoa
Description: eukaryotic LSU rRNA
Rfam family: 5.8S ribosomal RNA (bases 393-545)
Source: RNAcentral